UACAGAGGAUGCAAGCGUUAUCCGGAAUGAUUGGGCGUAAAGCGUCUGUAGGUGGCUUUUUAAGUCCGCCGUCAAAUCCCAGGGCUCAACUCUGGACAGGCGGUGGAAACUACCAAGCUGGAGUACGGUAGGGGCAGAGGGAAUUUCCGGUGGAGCGGUGAAAUGCGUAGAGAUGUGGAGGAACACCGGUGGCGAAGGCGCCUUGCUGGCCGACUUCUGACGCUGAGGCGCGAAAGCGUGGGGAGCAAACAGG
This 253-nucleotide ribosomal RNA is filed under the name uncultured bacterium. RNAcentral's name for it is "partial 16S ribosomal RNA". It matches the Rfam family "Bacterial small subunit ribosomal RNA", at positions 524 to 776 of the family's 1533-position model. The record is from RNAcentral.